This 497-nucleotide ribosomal RNA is filed under the name uncultured bacterium. RNAcentral's name for it is "partial 16S ribosomal RNA". It matches the Rfam family "Bacterial small subunit ribosomal RNA", at positions 28 to 507 of the family's 1533-position model. The record is from RNAcentral.
GAUGAACGCUGGCGGCGUGCCUAAUACAUGCAAGUCGAGCGAACGGACGAGAAGCUUGCUUCUCUGCUGUUAGCGGCGGACGGGUGAGUAACACGUGGAUAACCUACCUAUAAGACUGGGAUAACUUCGGGAAACCGUAGCUAAUACCGGAUAAUAUUUUGAACCGCAUGGUUCAAAAGUGAAAGACGGUCUUGCUGUCACUAAUAGAUGGAUCCGCGCUGCAUUAGCUAGUUGGUAAGGUAACGGCUUACCAAGGCAACGAUGCAUAGCCGACCUGAGAGGGUGAUCGGCCACACUGGAACUGAGACACGGUCCAGACUCCUACGGGAGGCAGCAGUAGGGAAUCUUCCGCAAUGGGCGAAAGCCUGACGGAGCAACGCCGCGUGAGUGAUGAAGGUCUUCGGAUCGUAAAACUCUGUUAUUAGGGAAGAACAUAUGUGUAAGUAACUGUGCACAUCUUGACGGUACCUAAUCAGAAAGCCACGGCUAACUACGUG